Scomber japonicus (chub mackerel) is the source of this 339-nucleotide long non-coding RNA. RefSeq lists it as uncharacterized. The record is from RefSeq and is a predicted model, not a curated record. The transcript has 3 exons. NCBI's taxonomy places the organism in Eukaryota, Metazoa, Chordata, Actinopteri, Scombriformes, Scombridae.
AACAUCACCACUAAAGAUUGUGACACUCCAAUCUCUAAGCAGGAUAAUCGGAGACCUCCUCGGCCCGCCAAGCCUGGAAAAAAAUGUGCAGCGGAUUUCAAUGUGUAUGGCAAUAUUUGAGUUCUUCAUGAUACCUUCUGCUCAAUAACAAUGUUGUUGUUAUUAUAUUACAUCUAUAUAUACACAGUACACAGUGAUGUUUGUGUGUGUGUGUGUGCGUGUGUGUGUGUGUUUAUUCAGCUAAAAUAAAUUUGCAAUCAACCUCGCAAGCAAUCAACAAUCAUAUAAUCAGCUAUCAACUUAAUGUUGUGCAUCUGCUCAAUAAACAAUAAUGCCUGA